AAACAAUAUAUGAAAAUUUUAGGUUUUGCAAUUGAACAAUUGAUAUUUGAAGAGAUUUGUAGAAUGGAUAAAAGCUAUCCUUGGUUAUGCAGGUUAGAGCCCAAAUGACCACCCAAUAAAAAAUGCCUAAUGCUAAGAAAAACCCUAGUCUACCUCAAAAAUCUGUGUGGUAAACUAGUACAAUUACGUGGUAGAUUUAUUGAGAUGAGUAUGCUGAUACUAGUUUGAGGUUCCUAAAUUCCAAACGACAUUGGAUUCUAAAAGACACUGCAGUCCAAUUGAUCUGGUCGGUAUAAUUAUCUUAAUUGAUUUUGCCCUAUUGUUGAAAGAAGAGGACAUAGUUCAAAGCAGUGUUUGAACGAGUUGAAUGGUAAAGAGAGACUCCAGAAUCGAUUCUGGCCUACUUUUUAAUUUUUUAAUCGACAUAUAUAUAGCUUAGUAAAAGAAACCAUCAAAUUAUGUUUCUGUAAUAAACUAAUAAUUCAAAAUGGCUCAUUUCUUUUAUUUUGCUUUUGUCAACUUUUCAUGCAUAUCUAACUGAAAGAAGGAUUGG
RNAcentral lists this unclassified non-coding RNA (553 nucleotides) under Hevea brasiliensis (rubber tree). The record is from RNAcentral. Lineage: Eukaryota; Viridiplantae; Streptophyta; Magnoliopsida; Malpighiales; Euphorbiaceae.